UCUUGAUUGAGUCGAUACCCUUAAAAAGGAUUGCAAUAGAAAACAACAGAGAGAUGAUUGCAUAAUAGCAGGAAAACGAGAAAAGCGUGCAAUGCGAGGGAUACGGGAUGUCGCGCUAACAUGGAUUCUGAUGAAGAAGGGAGAGGUGUGUUGCCUCAAUCUGUGGACCAAACUGAAAAUACGUCUGUCUAAAGUUACCAACAUAAAGGACGGAACCUGAAAAUGAUAGCAGAUGUUUUAAGAACGUUUGUUUUGAUUUGGAAGAUGACAUUUUUCCAAGCCCAUUGGGAGAACCGGAUAAACACGUUGGUACCAGUCUGGUGUUCUGCAAGACGAAACUGUUGGUGACUGUGACGUCGUAGGGAAGAACAAGCUUAAGAAGAUCAGAAAUAGUACAUCCAGUACGAACAAGUCUUUGGGAAAUAUCUCCAAUUCGAAAGUGACCACAACUGAUGAAUUCCUUCCAGUAACUAUAAUACAUUGUCAUUAUCAUCAAACAUCGGCAUAAAUACCUGGAAUGAACAAUAUUAACAAUCGUCUGACAAUAAAACGAAUGCUCUUUGA
Long non-coding RNA from Haliotis rubra (blacklip abalone), 564 nucleotides. RefSeq lists it as uncharacterized. The transcript is spliced from 2 exons. The record is from RefSeq and is a predicted model, not a curated record. NCBI's taxonomy places the organism in Eukaryota, Metazoa, Mollusca, Gastropoda, Lepetellida, Haliotidae.